GUGCUCACUUCAGCAACAUGUAUACUAAAAUUGGAAUAAUACAGAGAAGAUUAGCAUGGCCCCUGUGCAAGGAUAACAUGCAAAUUCGUGAAGUAUUCCAUAUUAAA
RNAcentral lists this small nuclear RNA (107 nucleotides) under Cebus imitator (Panamanian white-faced capuchin). Lineage: Eukaryota; Metazoa; Chordata; Mammalia; Primates; Cebidae. The record is from RNAcentral.